This 322-nucleotide long non-coding RNA is filed under the name Brassica napus (rape). Its description in RNAcentral is "long non-coding RNA (BNAP_LNC009454)". Lineage: Eukaryota; Viridiplantae; Streptophyta; Magnoliopsida; Brassicales; Brassicaceae. The record is from RNAcentral.
GACUGUGUGGAUGUAAGGUCUGGUUUCAAAUAGGAGUGAAUGCAUUAAUAAAAUUGGAUGAUGAACCUUGGUAACGUGGUUGGCCUCAAGUAUCAUAGCUUAUAGGGGUGGACAUUGGGAUGUAUGGAUUUGAUUCGCAACUCUUCGGUUUUCAGAGUUAAAGAUUUCAGUCUUAUUCAGGUACUUAUAAAUUUUGGUUCGGGUUCGGUUUGGAACUUUGCAGGUUCGAUUCGAGUUCGGAGAACCCGUUUAAAUUAUUCUUAAGAAAAUUUAAAUUUAUACUCCAUCUAUUUCAUAAUAAAUAUCAUUUUAGAUUUUUUUU